UUUACUCCCGUUUCCACCGGUAAAGCAAAGUGAAGCGACUUGCUAACCCAUCCCACGCCCCGACGCAGCCCCGGGGGCGGCAGAGGGGUCCCGCCUGGCGCUGAGGGCGCAUCUGGACGCAGGAAGAGUCUCCCGCCCGCUUCCCGGAGCCGGGGGCGUUCCUUUUAGUGCCACAGGACUCCCCAGAUAUCAAGGAAACUAUCAAAGACUACUGGGGUCAAUGUCAAAAGGACUCAGGAGUUAACUUGAAGAGACUCCCUCUGGCCAUGGAUGGGACACAUUCAGCAUCAGUAAGCAUAAUAACUACAAAGGAUUGAAACACAUCAAAUGUGAAUUGUCUGUCGCAUUCUCCAUGAGCUCAUAAUGAUACUUUAAAAAAAAGAUAAGGUCACCAAUAGAGGAAGCUGG
RNAcentral lists this long non-coding RNA (408 nucleotides) under Equus caballus (horse). RNAcentral's name for it is "lncRNA (ENSECAG00000050202.1)". The record is from RNAcentral. Lineage: Eukaryota; Metazoa; Chordata; Mammalia; Perissodactyla; Equidae.